CUCAACAACUGCAGGAAGAUAAAGCAGAGAAGGCGGGUACUCUUCAUUUCCAAUCAUAAACGUCAUGUUUCUCUAGUCCUCUACUGUAACGCCCGUGAACCGAAAAAUCGGUUAGGGUUUGUUUUUAAAUCAUCUGGUUUAAUUGGUUGGGUUAAUUGGAAACCCUAGAGUGUGCCUAUAAAAUAAGGAAACUCGAAAUUAGGGCUUUAGUUAGCCACUUUUCGUUUUAUAAAGGAGAAAAAGAGAGAAAAGGAGAAUGAGCAGAAUCGUUAGGGUUUGGGAGAAAUCAGUUUCGUCAUAUCAAAUCGUGGUAAAAGGUAACGAAAUUUGGUAGAGUUAUUCCCAAGUCCUUUAUCGUUAUUUUCUAGUUUACAGAAUUGGAUUUGGAUUAAAAUUGGUUGAGUUAUUCGCAGUUUCGUGAGACACGUUUUCUCAAACGCGAAUUAGGACCAGCGGAGAUUGAAACUAAGAUCGUGGUCUCGUCUGUUCUUUGAUCGGCAGGAGAUUUUGUGGGCCGUUUUGUGACGUCUGCAGAUCAGAUUUCACCGGAGCGAUUGAAUAGUUAACGGUUAGCUUGUAUUUUAGGGUUUCAUCUUUGAGACUGCUUGUUUCUGGUGUUUUCCUGUCCAUUUUGCUUCAAGGUUGCUUUUGGUUGUGGACUUGUUGUAAGACGUUUCUGGACUGUUUCAGACGCAAGGAGAGUCUCUCCUGGGUUUAAUUGCUAUUAGAAUCAAUUUGUUAAGGUGAGUGCGUGACCAUGAGCUUAUCUGAGCGAUUGGGUUGUGUGAUUUGUUUUGUGUGAUGAUAUGUAGGUGUGGUGAAUGUGUUUUGGGUGAAUUGUUCAAUGACUGGUUUGUUUGUAUUGUAUUCGUGAUUAUACCUUUGUAUUUGCUUGUGUGUAUAGCUCAUAGAUGGGAGGAUCGCCUCACUAAGUAUUUAUGAUAAUACUUACGCAUCUCAUUGUGUUGUUGAUGCAAGUAAAGAUAAAGUGUGAUCGUGGAAUCAUGGCAAGGAAGAGAGGAUGAUCUAGGAACUCGUUUGUUUGAUUUUUGGUGUUUUUGGUUAUUGGAACCCGGUUAGGAUUGUCAGUUAUUCUUGGUUUUGUUGGUCGAAUUAUUUAUUUAUUCAUAAAAUAGUAUUUUUGACUUACGGUUUAAUUAUUAUGUUAUUGGUUGUUUUAAUUAGAUAUUUAUGGGAAUAUUUAAUUAUAUUUUUUAAAAAAAAAUGGGUCGGGUUGUUUCAAUUUGGUAUCAGAGCGAUUACGGUUCUAGGAUGUGUAGAAAAAUUAUUUGAUGAAUUAUUUUCCUGUUGAUUGAUGUGGGAUGAGCUAGGGUGUUAGCAUAUUGAGGAUUGAUUAUGGAGUGUUUAGUCAAUUGUGUGUAGUUGGAGUCCUAGCAUCAUCUUCUCCGAGCCUUAAAUGAGAUUCGACGGCAAGUUGUUUGUAAUAUAUUCGUUUGUUUUAGUUUCUUAGCCAUUUGUUCUUGAGUAGCGCAGAUGGUUAGAGGAGCUGGAGUUCGUGGUCGUGGUCGCGGUCGUGGUCACGGUAGGGGACGAGUCCUCGAGGGUACCGGCGAGAGUGAUGGCCACAGUGCCACAGUUGAGCAGAGUGUGGGUUCGCAGCCUGAGUUUGUGGAGCCCGGGGUUAGGAACGGUCUUGGUGCCGAUAUAGCUGGUGCAGCCGGAGUGGGGGCUGGUGGAGCUGGUGUCGGUACCAGUGUGCAUGCCGUUGGUGCUGAGGGCCCAGGACUGAUGGGUGCCGCAGCUGGAGGAGCCCAGGUUCCAGAGGUUGGUUUGGCGGGCCUGUUGAGGCAGUUGUUGGAGCGGUUACCAGGUGUGGUACCAGUGGAGGCUCCAGUUGCGCCACGAGUGGCGGAGGUGCAGCAGCGGGCUGCGGUUGCUGAGGAGGUUCCAUCUUAUUUGAGGAUGAUGGAGCAGUUGCAGAGGAUUGGCACCGGUUAUUUCUCUGGUGGUACUAGUCCUGAGGAGGCCGACAGUUGGAGGUCGCGGGUUGAGCGGAACUUCGGUUCGAACAGAUGCCCGGCGGAGUAUCGGGUAGAUCUAGUAGUGCAUUUUCUAGAGGGGGAUGCACAUUUGUGGUGGCGGAGUGUGACUGCCAGAAGGAGGCAGGAGGAUAUGUCUUGGGCAGAUUUCGUGGCUGAGUUUAAUGCCAAGUACUUUCCGCAGGAGGCGCUCGACCGUAUGGAGGCGCGUUUUCUUGAGCUGACACAGGGUGAGCGGUCGGUUCGGGAGUAUGACCGGGAGUUUAACCGACUCUUGGCGUAUGCGGGUCGGGGCAUGGAGGAUGACCAGGCCCAGAUGAGGAGGUUCUUGAGGGGACUUCGACCAGAUUUGAGAGUGAGGUGUAGAGUGUCGCAGUACGCCACGAAGGCGGCACUGGUGGAGACGGCUGCUGAGGUAGAGGAGGACCUUCAGAGGCAGGUGGUGGGAGUGAGUCCAGCGGUACAACCGAAGAAGACUCAGCAGCAGGUGACACCUAGCAAGGGCGGCAAGCCUGCACAGGGGCAGAAGAGGAAGUGGGAUCAUCCUUCCAGAGCUGGACAGGGUGGUCGUGCAGGAUGUUUUUCUUGUGGGAGCCUUGACCACAAGGUGGCGGAUUGCACGCAGCGAGCUGAGACGAGGGAGUGCUACCACUGCAGGGAGAGGGGACAUCUCCACGUCAAGGUUGCUGGAGGGCAGUUUCUAGCGGUUCUGGAGAGAGCGAAGGGUGUAGAUAUUCAGAUUGCAGGGGAGUCAAUGCCAGCAAAUUUGAUUAUCAGCCCUGUAGAGUUGUAUGAUGUUAUUCUGGAAAUGGAUUGGUUGGAUUAUUACAGAGUACAUCUUGACUGCCACCGUGGGAGAGUUUCUUUUGAGCGGCCAGAGGGAAGGUUGGUUUAUCAGGGAGUGAGACCUAUCUCAGGGAGUCUCGUCAUCUCAGCAGUGCAGGCAGAGAAAAUGAUCGAGAAGGGCUGCGAGGCUUACCUGGUGACGAUAUCUAUGCCGGAGUCUGUGGGGCAGGUAGCAGUGAGCGACAUUCGGGUUGUUUAGGAGUUCGAGGAUGUGUUUCAAUCGUUGUAGGGAUUACCACCAUCAUGGUCUGAUCCUUUCACGAUUGAGUUGGAACCAGGGACAGCGCCGUUGUCUAAGGCACCCUACAGGAUGGCUCCAGCAGAGAUGGCAGAGCUAAAGAAGCAGCUAGAGGAUUUGUUGGGUAAGGGAUUCAUUCGUCCUAGUACUUCACCUUGGGGAGCGCCGGUGUUAUUUGUGAAAAAGAAGGACGGGAGUUUCCGCUUAUGUAUUGACUACCGGGAGUUGAACCGGGUCACUGUGAAGAACAAGUACCCUUUGCCAAGGAUCGAUGAGUUGUUGGAUCAGUUGAGGGGUGCUACUUGUUUCUCCAAAAUCGAUUUGACGUCAGGUUAUCACCAGAUCCCGAUAGCGGAGGCAGAUGUUCGCAAGACUGCUUUCAGGACGAGAUAUGGACAUUUUGAGUUCGUGGUGAUGCCUUUCGGGUUGACUAAUGCACCUGCAGCGUUCAUGAGGUUGAUGAACAGCGUGUUCCAGGAGUUUUUGGAUGAGUUUGUGAUCAUCUUUAUUGAUGACAUUCUGGUGUAUUCUAAGAGUCCUGAGGAGCAUGAGGUACAUCUGAGGAGAGUGAUGGAGAAGCUGCGGGAGCAGAAGUUGUUCGCUAAGUUGAGUAAGUGUAGUUUCCGGCAGAGAAAGAUGGGUUUUCUGGGUCACAUUGUUUCUGCAGAGGGAGUUUCAGUGGAUCUAGAGAAGAUUGAGACUAUCAGAGAUUGGCCUACACCGACGAAUGCCACUGAGAUCAGGAGUUUUCUUGGGUUGGCAGGGUAUUACAGGAGGUUCGUCAAGGGGUUUGCGAAUAUGGCACAGCCGAUGACUAAGCUGACGGGGAAGGAUGUUCCUUUUGUGUGGUCACCGGAGUGCGAGGAGGGUUUCGUGAGCCUGAAGUAGAUGUUGACGAGUACACCAGUGUUAGCAUUGCCAGAGCAUGGAGAGCAUUACAUGGUGUAUACUGAUGCCUCGGGAGUUGGUUUGGGUUGUGUUCUAAUGCAGCGUGGGAAGGUUAUUGUCUAUGCAUCACGGUAAUUGAGGAAGCAUGAGGGCAACUAUCCUACUCACGAUUUGGAGAUGGCUGCAGUAAUCUUUGCCUUGAAAAUUUGGAGGUCUUAUCUUUAUGGCGGGAAAGUGCAGGUGUUCACGGAUCAUAAGAGUUUAAAGUAUAUCUUCACUCAGCCAGAGCUGAACCUGAGGCAGAGGCGAUGGAUGGAGUUGGUGGCUGAUUAUGAUCUGGAGAUACCUUACCAUCUCGGUAAGGCUAAUGUGGUUGCAGACGCGUUGAGCCGUAAGCCCGUGGGCGCGGCUCCAGGACAGAGUGUUGAGGCCUUGGUGAGUGAGAUUGAUGCUUUGCGGUUGUGUGCUGUGGCACGAGAGCCAUUGGGAUUGGAAGCUGUGGAUCGAGCAGAUCUUCUGAUUAGAGUUCGGUUGGCUCAGGAGAAGGAUGAGGGGUUGAUUGCGGCUUCUAAGGCAAAGGGCUCUGAGUAUCAGUUUGCAGCUAAUGGGACUAUCCUUGUGCAUGGGCGAGUUUGUGUGCCUAAGGAUGAGGAGUUGCGACGGGAGAUCUUGAGUGAGGCUCAUGCGAGCAUGUUUUCCAUUCAUCCAGGAGCGACUAAGAUGUACCGAGACCUCAAGCGGUACUAUCAAAGCGUCGGGAUGAAGAGGGAUGUAGCUAAUUGGGUUGCAGAGUGCGAUGUUUGUCAGUUAGUUAAGGCUGAGCAUCAGGUGCCAGGUGGCAUUUUGCAGAGUUUACCCAUUCCUUAGUGGAAGUGGGAUUUUAUCACGAUGGAUUUUGUGGUUGGGUUGCCUGUGUCGCGAACCAAAGAUGCUAUUUGGGUGAUCGUGGACCGUCUGACUAAGUCAACAUAUUUUCUGGCCAUCAGAAAAACCGAUGGAGCGGCGGUGUUGGCUAAGAAAUAUGUGAGCGAGAUCGUGAAGUUGCAUAGAGUACCUGUGAGUAUUGUGUCAGACAGGGAUUCCAAGUUUACUUCUGCAUUUUGGAGAGCCUUUCAGGCAGUGAUGGGUACUAAGGUGCAGAUGAGCACGGUUUAUCAUCCACAGACAGAUGGGCAAUCUGAGAGGACUAUUCAGACGCUUGAGGAUAUGUUGCGGAUGUGUGUCUUGGAUUGGGGAGGUCAUUGGGCGGAUCACUUGAGUCUGGUAGAGUUUGCUUAUAACAAUAGCUAUCAGGCGAGUAUUGGGAUGGCUCCUUUUGAAGCGUUGUACGGGAGGCCAUGCAGGACACCGUUAUGG
RNAcentral lists this small RNA (5328 nucleotides) under Arabidopsis thaliana (thale cress). Its description in RNAcentral is "ATSL031640". The record is from RNAcentral. Lineage: Eukaryota; Viridiplantae; Streptophyta; Magnoliopsida; Brassicales; Brassicaceae.